AAGAUUUUAAGUUAUAUUAAACUGAAGACUUUCAAGGUCUUUUAUAAAUCAUGUGUGUUUAAAUCUUG
This 68-nucleotide transfer RNA is filed under the name Rossia sp. GS-2021. Its description in RNAcentral is "tRNA-Trp". Lineage: Eukaryota; Metazoa; Mollusca; Cephalopoda; Sepiida; Sepiolidae. The record is from RNAcentral.